RNAcentral lists this ribosomal RNA (403 nucleotides) under Verrucomicrobiota bacterium. RNAcentral describes it as "Verrucomicrobia bacterium partial 16S ribosomal RNA". It matches the Rfam family "Bacterial small subunit ribosomal RNA", at positions 355 to 776 of the family's 1533-position model. Lineage: Bacteria; Pseudomonadati; Verrucomicrobiota. The record is from RNAcentral.
UUGGGAAUAUUGCACAAUGGAGGGAACUCUGAUGCAGCGACGCCGCGUGAACGAAGAAGGCUCUCGAGUCGUAAAGUUCUUUUAUAUGGGAAGAUAAUGACGGUACCAUAAGAAAAAGCCCCGGCUAACUACGUGCCAGCAGCCGCGGUAAUACGUAGGGGGCUAGCGUUGUCCGGAAUCACUGGGCGUAAAGGGUUCGCAGGCGGAAAUGCAAGUCAGGUGUAAAAGGCAGUAGCUUAACUACUGUAAGCAUUUGAAACUGCAUAUCUUGAGAAGAGUAGAGGUAAGUGGAAUUUUUAGUGUAGCGGUGAAAUGCGUAGAUAUUAAAAAGAAUACCGGUGGCGAAGGCGACUUACUGGGCUCAUUCUGACGCUGAGGAACGAAAGCGUGGGUAGCAAACAGG